Lepisosteus oculatus (spotted gar) is the source of this 390-nucleotide non-coding RNA. The record is from RefSeq and is a predicted model, not a curated record. Lineage: Eukaryota; Metazoa; Chordata; Actinopteri; Semionotiformes; Lepisosteidae.
CUUUUUUUGAACAGAAUUAGGUUCAAAAUUGAUCAAGAUGACAAUUCUCCCCAGUGAAGAAUGUGGCCACAGUAUCUUGGUAAUAAAUACAAAUCAUAUCUCAACACUGCUGGACUAGGACAGGGGCUGUACUGUCUUCAGCUCCUCCUCUGAGCUGGGAUGUUGAUCACAUGUAGAAGAGUGAGGAGUGGGGUUAGUAGUGGGGUUAGGGAGUGGACAUGCCAUCAGCAUCUGAACUCAGAGGAGGAGCUGAAGACACUCAGGAUUCCUGUGAUGCCUGAGAUCUAAACCAACUCACCCUGUCAGUCCCAGAGCCAGAUUCUGACUCUUCACAGUCUCAGUCCUCAGUGAGAGAGGAGCAGCAGGAGGCAGCAGGGAGGGAGCUGAAGG